GUGAAACAAACAAUUUAUUUUUCUCAGAAUCAAAAACAAAUUAUUUUUUUCUCAAAAAAAUGGAAACAUACUUUUGUUUCCAUAAAAAAACAUAGCCCCCAGAAAAUCAAAUGGUUGCUGCCUAACCAUGCUAAUUGCUCACAUUUCAAAGAAGAGAGAAAUAAAUUUAUCAAUGACAAUCCUAAUUUUACUAGGCCAACCUUAUAAAUAUGUUUGUUUGCAGUUUUCCGACUGUACCUUCAGACUGAAGGGUCGGUAGGUAGGAAAAAUAUUUUAUUUUAUCAGCCAAAAUACAGUUUAAACAAGCAGUUACACUAAACCAAGUUUCUUGUGAAGAAAAAAAAACAUUUUAAAACAACAAACACUGGACAUGCUGAAAACCAACAUCAAAUGAACAGGCAUUUUCAGAUAAAAAAAACUUUUUAACCAAAACUGAAACUUUAACAUAGUGCCAUUAUCCAAUUUAUUACAUAAAAUAUGGUAUAAUUAUUAAAUACAUGUACUGGAACACUUAUAAACAAGGAAUGUCAUUAUGACUAAAACUGUUUUAAAGAAAUAUAUUCAGACAUGUAUGCUUCUUGACUAGAAUGUUUUCAUGAGUAGAGUAUUUUCAUCAGAAAGAUGUAUAUAUUAUAAAUGUAUAAGACAAUUAUUUAAGAGUGUAUUUUUAAUAAAAAAAAUAACCAUUGAAUCUUCCUAAAUUGAAAAAAAGGCAACUUGAAAAAAAAGUAUUAAGACAUCCGACUGUUUUCAUAUUUCUAACAAUAUUUAAUUAUAUGUGAUAAGGUUAUAUUUUUGCCAGGCUUUAAUGAAAACCAAAGAAAUCUAAAGUUUGGAGUGAAAUCCAUAGCACCUCAUUAAAAGUAAAUGGUCUGUACUGAAAUGUUUUUAAUGCAUAAAAAAAAUUGGCAGCAUAGCUCCUAAGGACAUGUUUAAAUUGAAUUCACACAGGCCACACAGUUUGGGUAUAUUUAAUAUUGUAAGAAAGAGAAUAAUUGCAAUGAGUGGGGCAGCCCCCCUUAUCCUAAAGGAGCAUACUCAAUGCAAUCGAAGAUGGAUUUAAUAUAGAGAGAGUAUAUUUAUUUUUCAAGCUAACCAUUCAUUUUAUCUACAUCUUUGUGUAGUUAGGGUUGCUUCUUAUUGAUUUGGUAUGAUCUAUAUCCAUUAACAUUUCAAAUGAGCCACAUUUGCUUAGUGCCUAAACGUCUAUUGGGUGCAUUAACGAAUUCUUCAACUCGUGGCUUAAAACUUUGUUCGUAAUAUUUCAGGAACUGAGGAUGAUUUGCACACAAGUCCUUGAGCUCCGAAUCUGCCCUUGCAAAUUGCAAUGUGUCGUCUGCGCUUGCAAUUCCUUGAUCUCCAAAAAUUGUGUUGAUGAUGGUUUUUCUUUCUUGGGUGCUAACACCAACACGAUCUUGAAGGUAAUGUUGUACAUUGUCCUUUAAAUGUUUUGUGCACAAUCUUCGUUUGGCAGUUGGAAAUGCAUUUUCUAUCGCCUUGGUCAUAGCUUUUUCGUCAUCACUGCCAAACUCUAUAUUUUCGUGGAGACGAAGUUCAACAUCAAUAUUUUCAAAAAGAUCCAUCAUUGUUGUUCACUUAAUUACCCUAAUUUCAUCCCCCAUCCAUUAAUAUUAAGUUCCAAAAGGUUUUGCCAAUUAGAAAACCAAUUCGAUGUCAAAAUUUAAAAUAUAAAAUUACCAAAUGUAAUUUUCAUAAACAUAUUUAAUUCCGUAACUUAAAUAAAAAGAAAAAUGAAUUAACAAAACUUGACACGCGUCGGACGUUGAUAAAUAUGUUAAAGGUGAUAAUCCAUGAUUAAUUGCAAAUAACAAUUAAUAAUGUGCUAUAUACAUUUUGAAUUAAUGAAGCCUAUCUCGGUGAUGAAUAGAAAACAAAUUCAAUAUCAAAAUUUAAAAUAUAAAAUUACCAAAUUGUAAACUUCAUGAACAUAUAAUAUAUAAAAUUACCAAAUUAUAAACUUCAUGAACAUAUAAUAUAUAAAGUUACCAAAUUAUAAACUUCAUUAACAUAUAAUAUGCCGUAACUUAAUAAGAAAGAUGAAUUAAUAAAACUUGACACGCGUCGUUAAUAAAUAUGUUAAAUGUGAUAAUCAAUCACUUAUCAAAAAUAAAGCCGUCCUCGGUAAGAAAUAGAAAACAAAUUCAAUGUCAAAUAUUUAAAAUAUAAAAUUAACAAAUUGUAAAUUUCAUAAACAUAUUAUAUUCCGUAACUUAAUAAGAAAGAUGAAUUAACAAAUUUGACACGCGUCGGUGAUAAAUAUGUUAAAUGUGAUAAUCAAUAACUUAAUUAUCAUAAAUCGCAAUUAACAAUUGUGCUAUAUACAUUUUGAAUUAACAAAUCCUGACACGCGUAAGUAAUAAAAAGAUUAUACCGAUUCAACAGAUUAAGAAAUUUAGCGUAUGAAACAAAAUUUACAAAAAUUGUGCAAAAUUGCAAUAUUUUUUUUAAUAUAAAAACAUAAAAUUACCAAAUUAAGACGAAGUAAGCCAGAUGAAUAAGAGUAGGUUGACCCUACUUCUUCUUUCAAACAGGUCAAACAACAGAACGUAGAACAGCUGGAUGUUACCAAGAAAUCGACGUCUUGUAAUGAUAACUGUUGACAGUCAUAGUGGUACCAUGAAUUGCAAGAGUCACACUGUACUGAGUUCUUGGAGCAGUUCUGUCUGCAGUCACCACAGGGCCAAAAAAUCGACCUUUUUAGGUACGAAACUUUGCGUUUUGGCAUUUUGACUUUACUGAUUAACUUUGAAACUUUAUAAUAGAUUUAGAAAGAUUUUUGAAUUUUUUUUCUUGUUCUAUCAAUAUAUUAUACCCUUUGGUCAAUAUCUUUAAAUUUUGGAGCCAAUCGUAAAUUUGACCAAUAAUAUUAACAGGAAAUAAAAUAUUGUCCACUUAUUUUCGUCGGAAGUAAAAGAUGAUCCAAUAACAUUUACAGGAAGAAAUUGUGAUUCCAGUACUUUAUGGUUUCACGUUUCCAUUGUCUAACACAAGAUUUGAGACGUCGCUAACAGAACAAAAAUGUGAAAUGACUUCUCUUGAGACAUCGUUAAAAAAACAAAAAGUUAUGUAGGACUUCUUUUAAAUUUCCAUUUCUUUUGACAGCGUGGUUGAAUUAUAGAAGCCAUCCGUUCUUUUUAAAUUUUGACAUAGACCUCAUUAUAAAGUUGGUUGUGUUUGUUUAAUUACUCUUAAUAAUGACCAUAACAUACUGGCUUCUGUUUUACAAGCAUUAUUAAAAAAAAAAGAUUUAUAAAAUUAUAUAAGUAUGUCAAAAGGAAACACAUUCAAAGAUAUUGCAUGAUAAUUGAUUAAAAUCGUGCUAAAGGAACUUUAUGCAUUUCAAAUAGAAUUUAAAUAUAUUCAUAAUAUUAAAGUAAUCAGUCAAAGUCCUCGAUCUCUUUCCGUCGGUUAGAUUUUGAUAUUUGUCUCUUGUCUUAUUUUUAGUAAAACUAUUUUAUAUAAGAAGAAGAAAGAAAUGAAUAAAAUAUAUAAUAUAUAUAUUUGGUGGUUUGCGGAGUUGUCAUGUUAUAGACUUUCCUUUCCUGUUUGGUGUGUUCAAUGUAGAUAUAUUUGAUAUUUAAACUUUAAUUCAAUAUGAUUUGUUGCAUUAAUAACUGACAUAAUAUAUUAAGGUCACAAUUAAUACAAUAAAACAAAAAACAAAAUUAAAAAAAAAUGCGCUGUUUAGCGAUAUGCGAUCGGUGAUGAAGUUUAGAUUUCCCGUCUAAUUAAUAUUAGUUCAUGGAUUUUUUAAGUUAUUUUAAUGGUAUGUUGCAUAUUUUAGUUGUUUUUUUGUUUGUUUUUAUGUUCUGUGGUAUAUUUUGAGUGUUCUGUGGUAUAUUAUAUGUGUUCUGUGGUAUAUUUUUAGUGUUCUGUGGUAUUCUGUGGUAUUCUGUGGUGUUCUGUGGUAAAAAGACGCUCCGCUUCCUCCGUACAGGCGUGUUGACAGAUAUCCAUGAAGAUUUAAGUCACGGAGCAGUGGUUUCAUCUUUGUCGUCUUCACAACGAUUUGUAGAAAAUAUGCCAUACUUAAAGCUGCUGUCGAAUUAUUUAACCACUGAAAUUGGUUCCAUAAAGUCAGGCUCCACAGAUUCUGAACCCGAUUUGUUUGAGACAGAAUGGUUAUCGUGUCAGUUAUGAAUAUCCGCUGCGUUAUCGUCAAUGAUUUCAUCACACAUCAUUACAUGUGCCUGAAUCUGUAAAAACAGUUUACUAAUAAACUUUUUUGUUUGUUAGUUGUCUUAAAAUUGACACGAGACGACAGCUUAAAGUACUCCUCCGUUACUUCAUGGAUACCUGUAAACAAUUUCCAUGUGCUUUAUCAUUAAAUGGUCACAUGAACGCUUGACGGGAGGCUAAGAAAAACCGAAAUUGAAACGCGUAAUUGACCCAGACUUUAAAUCAUUUCCGGAAAGGACCCAAAGUUCCGGAUCGUGUCAAAAGAGGUAUUAAAAAAAAUUUCUUCAAAUUUAAAGCAAUAAAAUUUUCACAGUCGGGAGGAUUUUCAAGGGUCGGUCGGUAAACUGCAAACAAACAAUAUUUUAAUUUAAGCCCUAGAAGUCUAAAUAUUAUACUAUUUACCAUGAUUACUGAAAUUAUGUCGUCUACAAAUAGGGCAAUUUUGAUUCAUCCAGUUAGCUAAAAUGGUAAUGACCCUUAAAAUCAUCCAAUGAUCUUUUGAGAUCACCAGCAGCCACAC
This 4720-nucleotide long non-coding RNA is filed under the name Mytilus galloprovincialis (Mediterranean mussel). Lineage: Eukaryota; Metazoa; Mollusca; Bivalvia; Mytilida; Mytilidae. The record is from RNAcentral.